GACGAACGCUGGCGGCGUGCCUAAUACAUGCAAGUCGAACGCUGAAGGAGGAGCUUGCUUCUCUGGAUGAGUUGCGAACGGGUGAGUAACGCGUAGGUAACCUGCCUGGUAGCGGGGGAUAACUAUUGGAAACGAUAGCUAAUACCGCAUAAGAGUAGAUGUCGCAUGACAUUUGCUUAAAAGGUGCAAUUGCAUCACUACCAGAUGGACCUGCGUUGUAUUAGCUAGUUGGUGAGGUAACGGCUCACCAAGGCAACGAUACAUAGCCGACCUGAGAGGGGUAUUCGCCACACUUGGAACUAGACACCGCCCCGACCUCCAAGGGAGGGAGCCGGAGGGAAUUCUUCGGAAUUGACCGAAGGUUUACCGGGCAACGGCGGGUGAGUGAAGAAGGGUUUCGGAUCGUAAAGCUCUGUUGUAAGAGAAGAACGAGUGUGAGAGUGGAAAGUUCACACUGUGACGGUAUCUUACCAGAAAGGGACGGCUAACUACGUG
RNAcentral lists this ribosomal RNA (495 nucleotides) under uncultured bacterium. RNAcentral describes it as "partial 16S ribosomal RNA". It matches the Rfam family "Bacterial small subunit ribosomal RNA", at positions 28 to 507 of the family's 1533-position model. The record is from RNAcentral.